RNAcentral lists this transfer RNA (72 nucleotides) under Marmota marmota marmota (Alpine marmot). Lineage: Eukaryota; Metazoa; Chordata; Mammalia; Rodentia; Sciuridae. RNAcentral also lists the same sequence under 1 other name. The record is from Rfam by way of RNAcentral.
UGGGCUGUAGCUCAGUGGUAGAGAGCCCGCCGUGCGCGUGUGAGGCACUGGGUUCGAUUCUCAGCACCACAU